Molecule: ribosomal RNA, 207 nt
Filed under: uncultured bacterium
Lineage: Bacteria
Description: partial 16S ribosomal RNA
Rfam family: Bacterial small subunit ribosomal RNA
Source: RNAcentral
AGCGUAGACGGCAUGGCAAGUCUGAAGUGAAAGCCCGGGGCUCAACCCCGGGACUGCUUUGGAAACUGUCAGGCUAGAGUGCUGGAGAGGUAAGUGGAACUCCUAGUGUAGCGGUGAAAUGCGUAGAUAUUAGGAGGUACACCAGUGGCGAAGGCGGCUUACUGGACAGUAACUGACGUUGAGGCUCGAAAGCGUGGGGAGCAAACA